AAUGGUGCAGUCCUAUGACGUCACUAGAAAUAAGCGUGUACGGUACUUCAGAAGAUGGGACCUCGGAAAGCAAACUCCGAAAACUCCGAAAGCCGACCAGCGACUCCAUCGGGACGCGGGACAAUUGAAGGCUCUGACAACGUAAAGCGCAGUCUUCGCGCGGAACGUAAAUAACAACAGCGGAACGACCAUACAAGGGCAGAGGCCCUGGAAGGAGCGCCCCCCGCCCCCAUUACACCAACGUACCACUCCGGACCGCUGCCGCACACAACAUAAUGACAACAUUCAUGUGUGAGCGGUCGAAGAGGGGAAACAGCAUCCUGACCACUUCCAACAACAACCUCAAAUGGAGGCCACUGAUGACCUUUCUGCUGCCAACUCGGACCUUGGCCAGCUUCGCCCCAUGUAACAGGGCGAGGAUGGCAGGAUCUGAUAUUUUGGUCAAGGCUGUCUGAAGGACGCUCUGGAGGAGUUUUGGAAUGCCCGACCACAGGGCAUUUAGUUGCAUGUCUGGGCCCAAAGACAGCAGGGGCCGACACUCCGUCCCACCCGGGAGCGUCUCCUCCUGGUCCGCCAGUAAUGCGACAAACCACAGAGGGCAAACCACCCACUCGCAGCAAACGGAGAAAAUGACAAGCCUCGAGGCGCAGGGGAUGACUUCCACCACCGGUGUGGGCGAGCAGUGCCGCCGCAGACGCGCCAGGUUGAUGGCGACUGCGCCCCGGAGCUUCGGAAGGCUGCUGCCACCUUCUGGACGUCUAGGUGCGGACCAUCCCGCAGACACAUGGACGCGAAAAAAUCACUGCAAGAGCUGAAAGGCAUUUUUAAAACGGUAAGUGACAAAUGCUAAAUUGAACCAACUUCAUGGCAAUUCAGACAUACCCCUCCCCUAGCAACAAACAAAUACACGAUGAGUGUGGAUUUUGUUUUGGCAUCGACAACAGGGUACGAAUGUACAUUGCUUGACAUUGUACAAUGCAUUCAAUAAAACAAGUACAAAAUUA
Molecule: long non-coding RNA, 1004 nt
Organism: Hippocampus zosterae (dwarf seahorse)
Lineage: Eukaryota; Metazoa; Chordata; Actinopteri; Syngnathiformes; Syngnathidae
Exons: 3
Source: RefSeq, a predicted model, not a curated record